This 464-nucleotide ribosomal RNA is filed under the name Vreelandella stevensii. Its description in RNAcentral is "partial 16S ribosomal RNA". It matches the Rfam family "Bacterial small subunit ribosomal RNA", at positions 338 to 795 of the family's 1533-position model. Lineage: Bacteria; Pseudomonadati; Pseudomonadota; Gammaproteobacteria; Oceanospirillales; Halomonadaceae. The record is from RNAcentral.
CCUACGGUGGCUGCAGUGGGGAAUAUUGGACAAUGGGCGAAAGCCUGAUCCAGCCAUGCCGCGUGUGUGAAGAAGGCCUUCGGGUUGUAAAGCACUUUCAGUGGGGAAGAAAGCCUUGGGGCUAAUACCCUCGAGGAAGGACAUCACCCACAGAAGAAGCACCGGCUAACUCCGUGCCAGCAGCCGCGGUAAUACGGAGGGUGCGAGCGUUAAUCGGAAUUACUGGGCGUAAAGCGCGCGUAGGCGGUCUGAUAAGCCGGUUGUGAAAGCCCCGGGCUCAACCUGGGAACGGCAUCCGGAACUGUCAGGCUAGAGUGCAGGAGAGGAAGGUAGAAUUCCCGGUGUAGCGGUGAAAUGCGUAGAGAGCGGGAGGAAUACCAGUGGCGAAGGCGGCCUUCUGGACUGACACUGACGCUGAGGUGCGAAAGCGUGGGUAGCAAACAGGAUUAGAUACCCCAGUAGUC